AACGAACGCUGGCGGCAUGCCUAACACAUGCAAGUCGAACGAGACCUUCGGGUCUAGUGGCGCACGGGUGCGUAACGCGUGGGAACCUGCCCUUAGGUUCGGAAUAACUCCCCGAAAGGGGUGCUAAUACCGGAUAAUGUCUUCGGCCCAAAGAUUUAUCGCCUUUGGUUGGGCCCGCGUUGGAUUAGCUAGUUGGUAGGGUAAAAGCCUACCAAGGCGACCAUCCAUAGCUGGUCUGAGAGGAUGAUCAGCCACACUGGGACUGAGACACGGCCCAGACUCCUACGGGAGGCAGCAGUGGGGAAUAUUGGACAAUGGGCGAAAGCAUGAUCCAGCAAUGCCGCGUGAGUGAUGAAGGCCUUAGGGUUGUAAAGCUCUUUUACCCGGGAUGAUAAUGACAGUACCGGGAGAAUAAGCUCCGGCUAACUCCGUG
Molecule: ribosomal RNA, 433 nt
Filed under: uncultured bacterium
Lineage: Bacteria
Description: partial 16S ribosomal RNA
Rfam family: Bacterial small subunit ribosomal RNA
Source: RNAcentral